Molecule: ribosomal RNA, 405 nt
Filed under: uncultured bacterium
Lineage: Bacteria
Description: partial 16S ribosomal RNA
Rfam family: Bacterial small subunit ribosomal RNA
Source: RNAcentral
GAUGAACGCUGGCGGCGUGCCUAAUACAUGCAAGUCGAGCGAAGUGGGGACGGGUGAGUAACCCGUGGAUAACCUCCUAUAAGACUGGGAUAACUUCGGGAAACCGUAGCUAAACCGGACACCUAUAGAUGGAUCCGCGCUGCAUUGGCUAGUUGGUAAGGUAACGGCUUACCAAGGCAACGAUGCAUAGCCGGCCUGAGAGUGUGUUCGUCAACACUGGAGCUGAGCGACGGUCCAGACUCCUACGGGAGGCAGCAGUGGGUAAUCUGCCGCAAUGGGGGCAGGCCUGACGGAGCAACGCCGCGUGAGUGAUGAAGGUCUUCGGAUCGUAAAACUCUGUUGUUAGGGAAGCGGUUCCUAAGCAGAACGCCACGGCUAACUACGUGCCAGCAGCCGCGGUAAUAC